This 173-nucleotide ribosomal RNA is filed under the name uncultured bacterium. RNAcentral describes it as "partial 16S ribosomal RNA". It matches the Rfam family "Bacterial small subunit ribosomal RNA", at positions 334 to 522 of the family's 1533-position model. The record is from RNAcentral.
GACUCCUACGGGAGAGCAGCAGUGGGAGAAUCUUAGACAAUGGGCGCAAGCCUGGUCUAGCCAUGCCGCGUGAGCGAUGAAGGCCUUAGGGUUGUAAAGCUCUUUCGUGGGGGAAGAUAAUGACGGUACCCCAAGAAGAAGCCCCGGCUAACUCCGUGCCAGCAGCCGCGGUA